UACGGAGGGUGCGAGCGUUGUCCGGAAUCACUGGGCGUAAAGGGCGCGUAGGUGGCGGGGCAAGCGUGCGGUGAAAGCUCGGGGCUCAACCCCGAGUCGGCCGUGCGAACUAGCUUGCUUGAGCACUGUAGAGGCAGAUGGAAUUCCGGGUGUAGCGGUGGAAUGCGUAGAUAUCUGGAGGAACACCGGUGGCGAAGGCGGCAUCCUGGACCGGUAUUGACGCUGAGGAGCGAAAGCCAGGGGAGCAAACGGG
This 253-nucleotide ribosomal RNA is filed under the name uncultured bacterium. RNAcentral describes it as "partial 16S ribosomal RNA". It matches the Rfam family "Bacterial small subunit ribosomal RNA", at positions 524 to 776 of the family's 1533-position model. The record is from RNAcentral.